GACGAACGCUGGCGGCGUGCUUAACACAUGCAAGUCGAACGGAAAGGCCCUGCUUGCAGGGUACUCGAGUGGCGAACGGGUGAGUAACACGUGGGUGAUCUGCCCUGCACUUCGGGAUAAGCCUGGGAAACUGGGUCUAAUACCGGAUAGGAGCCAUUUUUAGUGUGAUGGUUGGAAAGUUUUUUCGGUGUAGGAUGAGCUCGCGGCCUAUCAGCUUGUUGGUGGGGUAAUGGCCUACCAAGGCGGCGACGGGUAGCCGGCCUGAGAGGGUGGACGGCCACAUUGGGACUGAGAUACGGCCCAGACUCCUACGGGAGGCAGCAGUGGGGAAUAUUGCACAAUGGGCGCAAGCCUGAUGCAGCGACGCCGCGUGGGGGAUGACGGCCUUCGGGUUGUAAACUCCUUUCGCUAGGGACGAAGCUUUUUGUGACGGUACCUAGAGAAGAGGCACCGGCUAACUACGUG
RNAcentral lists this ribosomal RNA (465 nucleotides) under uncultured bacterium. RNAcentral's name for it is "partial 16S ribosomal RNA". It matches the Rfam family "Bacterial small subunit ribosomal RNA", at positions 28 to 507 of the family's 1533-position model. The record is from RNAcentral.